Molecule: ribosomal RNA, 769 nt
Filed under: uncultured bacterium
Lineage: Bacteria
Description: bacterial SSU rRNA
Rfam family: Bacterial small subunit ribosomal RNA
Source: RNAcentral
AGAGUUUGAUCCUGGCUCAGGAUGAACGCUAGCUACAGGCUUAACACAUGCAAGUCGAGGGGCAGCAGAUCGAAAGCUUGCUUUUGAUGCUGGCGACCGGCGCACGGGUGAGUAACGCGUAUCCAACCUUCCCUAUAGUAGAGAAUAGCCCGGCGAAAGUCGGAUUAAUGCUCUAUGUUGUAUUUAGAGGACAUCUGAAGAAUACCAAAGGUUUACCGCUAUAGGAUGGGGAUGCGUCUGAUUAGGUAGUAGGCGGGGUAACGGCCCACCUAGCCGACGAUCAGUAGGGGUUCUGAGAGGAAGGUCCCCCACAUUGGAACUGAGACACGGUCCAAACUCCUACGGGAGGCAGCAGUGAGGAAUAUUGGUCAAUGGACGGAAGUCUGAACCAGCCAAGUAGCGUGCAGGAUGACGGCCCUAUGGGUUGUAAACUGCUUUUAUAUAGGGAUAAAGUCGGGGACGUGUCCCCGUUUGUAGGUACUAUAUGAAUAAGGACCGGCUAAUUCCGUGCCAGCAGCCGCGGUAAUACGGAAGGUCCAGGCGUUAUCCGGAUUUAUUGGGUUUAAAGGGAGCGCAGGCUGAUGAUUAAGCGUGACGUGAAAUGUAGCCGCUCAACGGCUGAACUGCGUCGCGAACUGGUUAUCUUGAGUGAGUUCGAUGUUGGCGGAAUUCGUGGUGUAGCGGUGAAAUGCUUAGAUAUCACGAAGAACUCCGAUUGCGAAGGCAGCCAACAAGGCCUUUACUGACGCUAAAGCUCGAAGGUGCGGGU